UUGGAGGUGGGGUGGUCUCAGCCAAGGGCCAGAGAAGGGAGAGGAGCGAGGAUCUAGAGGGGAGAAAAGGAAGUCGGCUGGGAAAUGGUCUGGAAGAAACAGCGAAUCAGCUUGGAGUGGCCCCAGCACGGGGAGGAGGAAGAGCCUCCCCGGGCCGCCAGGGGUCGCUGCUGAGCCGCAGAUCUCCAGCCCACUCACCCCCUCCUCAAGCCAGGACUCAGAAUCUUACUGCCCAGUACCUCAGCCCAAGAUGGAAAUACUAAAGUCCAGAAAGAGCAACUUAAUUUUUCCCAGGGAUACACAGAAUCUGGGGGCAGACGACAGGAUAACAUCACUAUCUCUCAAAUCCCAGAUGUCCUGUGAGAUAGAAGCUCUGAUCUUCUGGAGACACAAAGGGUCCAAACCUGUGAUGCUUCUUCCUGAGAUGUCUCCACCACUGGCUCGAGUUUGGAUUCUAGGGGUUUUGAGAGGUCCCAAUCAAGCUUCUGGAAGACUGGUGUCAGGGGAGGGGGAGGAGCACAGAGUGCAUGCUGGCUCUGGAAUCCUCAGAAAGCAAUCCUGGAUUAGGGGAUUAGACACUCCCGCCCCAGGAGAAAAUCU
Long non-coding RNA from Suricata suricatta (meerkat), 600 nucleotides. RefSeq lists it as uncharacterized. The record is from RefSeq and is a predicted model, not a curated record. Lineage: Eukaryota; Metazoa; Chordata; Mammalia; Carnivora; Herpestidae. The transcript is spliced from 5 exons.